CGGGUCAGGGCGGGCGGCCUACACAUGCAAGUCGAGCGGAUGAAGGGAGCUUGCUCCCGGAUUUAGCGGCGGACGGGUGAGUAAUGCCUAGGAAUCUGCCUGGUAGUGGGGGACAACGACUCGAAAGGGUCGCUAAUACCGCAUACGUCCUACGGGAGAAAGUGGAGGAUCUUCGGACCUCACGCUAUCAGAUGAGCCUAGGUCGGAUUAGCUAGUAGGUGAGGUAAUGGCUCACCUAGGCAACGAUCCGUAACUGGCCUGAGAGGAUGAUCAGUCUCACUGGAACUGAGACACGGUCCAGACUCCUACGGGAGACAGCAGUGGGGAAUAUUGGACAAUGGGCGAAAGCCUGAUCCAGCCAUGCCGCGUGGGUGAAGAAGGUCUUCGGAUUGUAAAGCACUCUAAGUUGGGUGGAAGGGUUGUAGUUUAAUACGCUGCAAUCUUGACGUUGCCAACAGAAUAAGCACCGGCUAACUCUGUGCCAGCAGCCGCGGUAAUACAGAGGGUGCAAGCGUUAAUCGGAAUUACUGGGCGUAAAGCGCGCGUAGGCGGCUUGAUAAGAUGGGUGUGAAAUCCCCGGGCUUAACCCGGGAACUGCAUCCAUAACUGUCUGGCUAGAGUACAGUAGAGGGUGGUGGAAUUUCCUGUGUAGCGGUGAAAUGCGUAGAUAUAGGAAGGAACACCAGUGGCGAAGGCGACCACCUGGACUGAUACUGACGCUGAGGUGCGAAAGCGUGGGGGAGCAAACAGGAUUAGAUACCCUGGUAGUCCACGCCGUAAACGAUGUCUACUAGCCGUUGGAAUCCUUGAGAUUUUAGUGGCGCAGCUAACGCACUAAGUAGACCGCCUGGGGAGUACGGUCGCAAGAUUAAAACUCAAAUGAAUUGACGGGGGCCCGCACAAGCGGUGGAGCAUGUGGUUUAAUUCGAAGCACGCGAGAUCUUACCUGGCCUUGACAUGCAGAGACUUUCCAGAGAUGGAUUGGUUGCCUUCGGGAACCUCUG
This 1004-nucleotide ribosomal RNA is filed under the name uncultured bacterium. RNAcentral describes it as "bacterial SSU rRNA". It matches the Rfam family "Bacterial small subunit ribosomal RNA", at positions 26 to 1031 of the family's 1533-position model. The record is from RNAcentral.